GCCCGCAUAGCUCAGUGGUAGAGCAUUGUACUUAUGAGGUUACCAACCUGUUUGCUUGAUACAAGGGUCUCCAGUUCGAUCCUGGGUGGGGGCA
Molecule: non-coding RNA, 94 nt
Organism: Guyanagaster necrorhizus
Lineage: Eukaryota; Fungi; Basidiomycota; Agaricomycetes; Agaricales; Physalacriaceae
Source: the annotation of a RefSeq genome assembly